CCUGCGUCAUAUUUGGGGGCGGGGCCCUCUUAUAACGGGAGUACGGGACACCUCUUCGGAGCCGGACACAGGCAGAUACAGCUGUACUGUCUGGGCGUGGACUUCUAGCGCUGUGGUGACAUCUGCUGGUAGAUGAUGUCUUAGAUUUAUGGAUGUAAAAUGAACUGGAUAAGUGGAAGCAAGAUGGCUCCAUCUGAGAAGCUAAUCUCAUGAGGUAUGGUACAUUAUUAGCUGUCUGCACACAGAACUCUGCAGUGUUAUCAGACACAAACAACUAACAUAUCACACAGUCUCUGCCAAUUUUAUUGCUUCAGUCAAAUCACAACAAGCUGUAUUACAAUCGUUCAGUUUUUCAGUUCUUCUGUUAGUGCUUGGAUCAGUAUCCUCUCCUCACGGAAAGAAGGAUGGAUGAAUGCCAGGGAGGAAGUUAGAGAAGGAGAGGAAGAGAGAGAAAUAGACCACCAUUGAUGGUCCCUUUUUCUAUGAUGACAUAAUGACUUGCAGUAUGAUAUCUCGUUAGUUUAUCUAUCUAGUCAAAGUGCUACAACAACAUCUGGGUCAGAGGUAAUACAUACUAACAGUCUGAAACCUUACAGGGAGAUGAACUUGGUUUAACCUAGAACCAUCCC
This is a long non-coding RNA of Salvelinus fontinalis (brook trout), 629 nucleotides long. RefSeq lists it as uncharacterized. The transcript is spliced from 2 exons. The record is from RefSeq and is a predicted model, not a curated record. Lineage: Eukaryota; Metazoa; Chordata; Actinopteri; Salmoniformes; Salmonidae.